ACAGUGGUGGUUGAGCGGUAGAAUUCUCGCCUUCCAUGCAGGAGACUCAGGUUCAAUUCCUGGCCAGUA
This 69-nucleotide transfer RNA is filed under the name Loxodonta africana (African savanna elephant). It matches the Rfam family "tRNA". Rfam says of the family: Transfer RNA (tRNA) molecules are approximately 80 nucleotides in length. Their secondary structure includes four short double-helical elements and three loops (D, anti-codon, and T loops). The record is from Rfam by way of RNAcentral. Lineage: Eukaryota; Metazoa; Chordata; Mammalia; Proboscidea; Elephantidae.